Molecule: ribosomal RNA, 446 nt
Filed under: uncultured bacterium
Lineage: Bacteria
Description: SSU rRNA
Rfam family: Bacterial small subunit ribosomal RNA
Source: RNAcentral
AGAGCGAACGCUGGCGGCAGGCUUAACACAUGCAAGUCGAGCGGGCGUAGCAAUACGUCAGCGGCAGACGGGUGAGUAACGCGUGGGAACGUACCUUUUGGUUCGGAACAACCCAGGGAAACUUGGGCUAAUAACCGGAUAAGCCCUUACGGGGAAAGAUUUAUCGCCGAAAGAUCGGCCCGCGUCUGAUUAGCUAGUUGGUGAGGUAAUGGCUCACCAAGGCGACGAUCAGUAGCUGGUCUGAGAGGAUGAUCAGCCACAUUGGGACUGAGACACGGCCCAAACUCCUACGGGAGGCAGCAGUGGGGAAUAUGGACAAUGGGCGCAAGCCUGAUCCAGCCAUGCCGCGUGAGUGAUGAAGGCCCUAGGGUUGUAAAGCUCUUUUGUGCGGAAGAUAAUGACGGUACCGCAAGAAUAAGCCCGGCUAACUUCGCGCCAGCAGCCGC